AUGGACAGAGUCCUAGCACCUAGUGUUCUGAACAGAGAAGGCUGUUCUGGCAAACCAGUGAGGCACUUUCCUUUUAUGGUCACUCUCGCAACCUGGGGGAGGUGCUUCCUGGAGCAACCCAGAGCCCACGCCUGCAACGGGCAUUCCUCCACCCUGUUUAUGAGGCACAACCAGUAACACUCCCACGCCAGCCCACUCCACUUCUGAGGCCACCCGGGUGAAGAAACGGAGGUUCAGCAAGCGUUGCUCAGCUGUUAGGCGGUGUGUUUGCAUCUGGGAACAAGCCCUCGGGCUGCUCUCUGCCCGCAUGGGCUCCUUUGAUCGCCUCAACAACGCCUGACAGGAGAUUCUGGCACUUUUCAUUUCUCAGGCCACUCCUUUGCCCCCACUGUCUGCCCACCAGCGCAAGGUCUCAGAAACACUCAGAAGCUCCAUGAGGAGGCUGGAGAAGCCCCAUCCAUCAAGACCUUGAAAGGCCCCAGGCAGGUGUGGAGUAUGGCCUGCCAGGGGGUUAGAGACUCCUUCACACAAGAUUGUGGAGGGAUAUUGUAGAAGAUCCUCAAACUUUAGAUAAGGAUGGAUUCGACAGUCUUUCAGGAUCUCUUCCAACCCAGAGAGCCUACACAGUUAUUUCACUGAGAAGAAAAUGAUGACAAAAUCUUGAGCGCAUUGAAGGAAGGAAUGUGCCUUAUUCGUCAUGGACUCACUAUCCCUAGAACAUACGGGCACAUGUAAUAAAUAUGUCAGUAGAUACAGUAGCCUUAUUCAACAAAUGAGGGUCAGAGAAUCAGGAUUGGGGCUGCUGCUUGCUCAGGUGAGCCACAUGUGAGGUCCCCGGUCACCUGGCUGAUCUAGUUAAUGAGGCCCCACCCCAUCUCUCUGCUGGUUAGUUACCCUAUCUAUGUUGCCACCUUGAAACUUUGGGUGUGCAUUUAAAGAACCCCCACCUCCAAACAGUGGCCCCCAGCAUCCACUGGACAAAAGAUGGUCAGGGCGACAGUCCCCAGACGCUCUAUCGCCCUUCCUUUCUCUCUCAGAGAUGGGGCAAAGCAGGAGUGAC
Molecule: long non-coding RNA, 1060 nt
Organism: Felis catus (domestic cat)
Lineage: Eukaryota; Metazoa; Chordata; Mammalia; Carnivora; Felidae
Exons: 5
Source: RefSeq, a predicted model, not a curated record